RNAcentral lists this ribosomal RNA (468 nucleotides) under uncultured bacterium. RNAcentral describes it as "partial 16S ribosomal RNA". It matches the Rfam family "Bacterial small subunit ribosomal RNA", at positions 28 to 507 of the family's 1533-position model. The record is from RNAcentral.
GACGAACGCUGGCGGCGUGCUUAACACAUGCAAGUCGAACGGAAAGACCCUGCUUUUGCUGGGUGCUCGAUUGGCGAACGGGUGUGUGACACGCGUGUAUCCUGCCCUUGACUUUGUGAUAACUUCAGGAAACUGCGGCUAAUACCGGAUAGGAGCUCCUGAUGCGUGGGGGGGGAUGGAAAGUGUCGGCGGUGGGGGCUGGACUCGAGGGUUACGAGCUGGAUGGUGGGGUAGUUGCUUACCAAGCGUGUGACGGGUAGCCGGCCUGAGAGGGUGACCGGCCACAAUGGGACUGAGAGACGGAGCAGAAUGCUACGGGAGGCAGUAGGCGGGAAUAUUGCACAACGGGGGCACGUCUGAGACAGAGGCGUUGCGAGCGUGAUGAUCGCUUUUGGGGUGUAAACCGCUUUGUACUGUAAUGAGGCGUGAGUGACGGUAAUUGGUAAAAAAGCCACGGCUAACUACGUG